ACACAAGAUCAAGGCCAUAACAGAAGUACUCACAGUGAGGCCCUGUCAGGUCCCAAUGAAUCUGCAAAUUCUGCU
RNAcentral lists this ribozyme (75 nucleotides) under Crocodylus porosus (Australian saltwater crocodile). Its description in RNAcentral is "Mammalian CPEB3 ribozyme (ENSCPRG00005003832.1)". It matches the Rfam family "Mammalian CPEB3 ribozyme". From Rfam's summary of the family: The mammalian CPEB3 ribozyme is a self cleaving RNA located in the second intron of the CPEB3 gene which belongs to a family of genes regulating messenger RNA polyadenylation. This ribozyme is highly conserved and found only in mammals. Lineage: Eukaryota; Metazoa; Chordata; Crocodylia; Crocodylidae. The record is from Rfam by way of RNAcentral.